ACCCUUACCUUGACGGGUUACAUGGCCGAUCAAGAAGAGUCAUGGCCUAGGCUAGUGGCUAACAUUGCACUUGGUUGGUGCGCUAACCUGUCAUCUCCCCGAAGGAAGAAUGAAUGUCAUAAUUUAUAAUAGAGGGGAUACGCGUUAGUCAAUUUUUA
Hordeum vulgare subsp. vulgare (domesticated barley) is the source of this 158-nucleotide non-coding RNA. NCBI's taxonomy places the organism in Eukaryota, Viridiplantae, Streptophyta, Magnoliopsida, Poales, Poaceae. The record is from Rfam.